Pontibacillus yanchengensis Y32 is the source of this 67-nucleotide small RNA. It matches the Rfam family "Bacillaceae-1 RNA". The record is from Rfam. NCBI's taxonomy places the organism in Bacteria, Bacillati, Bacillota, Bacilli, Caryophanales, Bacillaceae.
UUAAGAAGAAGUUCGAUUAAGUUCGCUGCAUCGUGCAGCAACAUCGAACCAACCCACAUCCUGUGGG